GAUGAACGCUGGCGGCGUGCCUAAUACAUGCAAGUCGAGCGAACAGACGAGGAGCUUGCUCCUCUGACGUUAGCGGCGGACGGGUGAGUAGCACGUGGAUAACCUACCUAUAAGACUGGGAUAACUUCGGGAAACCGGAGCUAAUACCGGAUAAUAUAUUGAACCGCAUGGUUCAAUAGUGAAAGACGGUUUUGCUGUCACUUAUAGAUGGAUCCGCGCCGCAUUAGCUAGUUGGUAAGGUAACGGCUUACCAAGGCGACGAUGCGUAGCCGACCUGAGAGGGUGAUCGGCCACACUGGAACUGAGACACGGUCCAGACUCCUACGGGAGGCAGCAGUAGGGAAUCUUCAGCAAUGGGCGAAAGCCUGACGGAGCAACGCCGCGUGAGUGAUGAAGGUCUUCGGAUCGUAAAACUCUGUUAUUAGGGAAGAACAAAUGUGUAAGUAACUAUGCACGUCUUGACGGUACCUAAUCAGAAAGCCACGGCUAACUACGUG
This 497-nucleotide ribosomal RNA is filed under the name uncultured bacterium. Its description in RNAcentral is "partial 16S ribosomal RNA". It matches the Rfam family "Bacterial small subunit ribosomal RNA", at positions 28 to 507 of the family's 1533-position model. The record is from RNAcentral.